RNAcentral lists this ribosomal RNA (253 nucleotides) under uncultured bacterium. RNAcentral describes it as "partial 16S ribosomal RNA". It matches the Rfam family "Bacterial small subunit ribosomal RNA", at positions 524 to 776 of the family's 1533-position model. The record is from RNAcentral.
UACGUAGGGGGCAAGCGUUGUCCGGAUUUAUUGGGCGUAAAGAGCGUGUAGGCGGCCAGACAGGUCCGUUGUGAAAACUCGAGGCUCAACCUCGAGAUGUCGAUGGAAACCGUCUGGCUAGAGUUCGGAAGAGGAGUGUGGAAUUCCUGGUGUAUCGGUGAAAUGCGCAGAUAUCAGGAAGAACACCUAUGGCGAAGGCAGCACUCUGGGACGGUACUGACGCUGAGACGCGAAAGCGUGGGGAGCGAACAGG